GCUGGGUGUGGUGGCUCACGCCUAUAAUCCCAGCACUUUGGGAGGCUGAGGUGGGUGGAUCACCUGAGGUCAGGAGUUCGAGACCAGCCUGGCCAACAUGGUGAAACCCCAUCUCUA
RNAcentral lists this non-coding RNA (117 nucleotides) under Homo sapiens (human). The record is from Rfam by way of RNAcentral. Lineage: Eukaryota; Metazoa; Chordata; Mammalia; Primates; Hominidae.